AACACCAACUGCAGAACAACUUCAGCUCUUUGAGUCAGAAGAAACUGGAGCUGGAGACCAGAAGUCAAAGAUCUCACUGAUGAGAAAGACCAGUUACAGAGAGAUUUUGACUCUUUGAAUAAGAAGGGCCCAGUUUGUUUUUUCGUGUCCUCUGAGUUGAAGAGCUGGUCUGACAGCAGACAGUACUGCAGGGAUCGUGGUGCUGAUCUGGUCAUUGUCAACACUGAAGAGAAGCAAAGGUUCAUAUCUUCAUUAGUCAAGGA
Long non-coding RNA from Sinocyclocheilus anshuiensis, 263 nucleotides. RefSeq lists it as uncharacterized. The record is from RefSeq and is a predicted model, not a curated record. The transcript has 3 exons. Lineage: Eukaryota; Metazoa; Chordata; Actinopteri; Cypriniformes; Cyprinidae.